AUUCCAGCUCCAAUAGCGUAUAUUAAAGUUGUUGCAGUUAAAAAGCUCGUAGUUGGAUCUCGGGAGCGAGCGAGCGGUCGGGCGUUCAGCCAUGUACUUCUCACUCAUCCUACUGACCGGUACGUGCCCUGUGCUCUUAACCGAGUGUAGGGACCGUCUGGUGCGUUUACUUUGAAAAAAUUAGAGUGCUCAAAGCAGACGAGUCGUCUGAAUAGCCGUGCAUGGAAUAAUGGAAUAGGACCUCGGUUCUAUUUUGUUGGUUUUCGGAAGUCGAGGUAAUGAUUAAGAGGGACAGACGGGGGCAUUCGUACUAGGCCGCCAGAGGUGAAAUUCUUUAACUGGCUCAUGACGAACAACUGCGAAAGCAUUUGCCAAGAAUGUUUUCAUUA
RNAcentral lists this ribosomal RNA (389 nucleotides) under Annelida sp. RNAcentral describes it as "partial small subunit ribosomal RNA". It matches the Rfam family "Eukaryotic small subunit ribosomal RNA", at positions 582 to 975 of the family's 1831-position model. Lineage: Eukaryota; Metazoa; Annelida. The record is from RNAcentral.